RNAcentral lists this ribosomal RNA (375 nucleotides) under uncultured bacterium. RNAcentral's name for it is "bacterial SSU rRNA". It matches the Rfam family "Bacterial small subunit ribosomal RNA", at positions 524 to 898 of the family's 1533-position model. The record is from RNAcentral.
UACGGAGGGUGCAAGCGUUAAUCGGAAUUACUGGGCGUAAAGCGCACGCAGGCGGUCUGUCAAGUCGGAUGUGAAAUCCCCGGGCUCAACCUGGGAACUGCAUCCGAAACUGGCAGGCUAGAGUCUUGUAGAGGGGGGUAGAAUUCCAGGUGUAGCGGUGAAAUGCGUAGAGAUCUGGAGGAAGACCGGUGGCGAAGGCGGCCCCCUGGACAAAGACUGACGCUCAGGUGCGAAAGCGUGGGGAGCAAACAGGAUUAGUUACCCUGGUGGUCCACGCCGUAAUCGAUGUCGACUUGUAGGUUGUGCCCUUGAGGCGUGGCUUCCGGAGCUAACGCGUUAAGUCGCCCGCCUGGGGAGUACGGCCGCAAGGUUAAA